UACGGAGACCUCGAGCGUUACUCGGAUUUACUGGGCGUAAAGGGUUCGUAGGUGGUCAGGUGUGUCGGGUGUGAAAUCUCACAGCUUAACUGUGAAACUGCGCCCGAAACUACUUGGCUAGAGACUCGGAGGGGUAAGCGGAAUUCCAGGUGUAGCGGUGAAAUGCGUAGAUAUCUGGAGGAACACCAACGGCGAAGGCAGCUUACUGGACGAGAUCUGACACUGAGGAACGAAAGUAUGGGUAGUGAAAGGG
RNAcentral lists this unclassified non-coding RNA (253 nucleotides) under uncultured Verrucomicrobiota bacterium. RNAcentral describes it as "uncultured Verrucomicrobia bacterium contains 16S-23S intergenic spacer region". It matches the Rfam family "Bacterial small subunit ribosomal RNA", at positions 524 to 776 of the family's 1533-position model. Lineage: Bacteria; Pseudomonadati; Verrucomicrobiota. The record is from RNAcentral.